AUUUGGAUACUCAUCAUUUCUUCUUUCACACCCAAAUACUUCACUGUACCAUCUCUCUGUCAUAUUUCGUCUUAUCCAAACAAAGAAAGAAGUUGACUAAAGAUGUUGAGAUUGUAGAGCAAGGUCCUUCUUCCAAUUUCAUCCCCUUCUAUAUUCCACCAUAAAUUUGAAGGAGAUAGCAUCAUUGAUUAAGACUGGGGCAUAUGCUUAUGAAGCAAAGAGGAUUUCAAGAGUCGAUCGAUGCACUUCUUGAGAUUCUUAACAAGGAUGGUAAAACACCUGAUGCAUUUAUUUUGGUGCAAACCAUGAGCAUGAAUAUCGAUGGAUGGAACCAAAGUUUUUCAUUGGAGUCAAUGCUACCAUAAGAUUUGCACUUGCAGGGACUACGGGGAGGAAUGAUGGGUGGGCUAGCUUUGCAAACAUUGCUACUCUUAUUUAUAGUAUAUAGAAUUGAUUGGGUUAAAAAACAAGAUUUACCAAAUGUUAGACUAUAAUCAUUAUGUAUGUAAAUAUUAAUUGUCAGUACGAGUGACUAUUUUGUAUAAAUUGUUAAAAUUUAUAUUUGAGAUAGUUAUAACAUGUGGCAA
Long non-coding RNA from Capsicum annuum, 587 nucleotides. RefSeq lists it as uncharacterized. Lineage: Eukaryota; Viridiplantae; Streptophyta; Magnoliopsida; Solanales; Solanaceae. The record is from RefSeq and is a predicted model, not a curated record. The transcript is spliced from 5 exons.